This is a small nucleolar RNA of Vicugna pacos (alpaca), 134 nucleotides long. The record is from Ensembl. NCBI's taxonomy places the organism in Eukaryota, Metazoa, Chordata, Mammalia, Artiodactyla, Camelidae.
GGGAUGUGCUCAGAGCAGAGAGACUAAAGAAACAGCUCCUCUGUUUCCAACACUCCCAAUGGCAAUCUGGGUUCACUGUGACGAGGGGCACAAAACUUGGGGCCUUCCUACCCUACAUGUGUCCCCCUACACAU